RNAcentral lists this ribosomal RNA (482 nucleotides) under uncultured bacterium. Its description in RNAcentral is "bacterial SSU rRNA". It matches the Rfam family "Bacterial small subunit ribosomal RNA", at positions 30 to 507 of the family's 1533-position model. The record is from RNAcentral.
AUUGAACGCUGGCGGCAUGCCUUACACAUGCAAGUCGAACGGUAACAGGUCUUCGGAUGCUGACGAGUGGCGAACGGGUGAGUAAUACAUCGGAACGUGCCCGAUCGUGGGGGAUAACGGAGCGAAAGCUUUGCUAAUACCGCAUACGAUCUACGGAUGAAAGCAGGGGACCGCAAGGCCUUGCGCGGACGGAGCGGCCGAUGGCAGAUUAGGUAGUUGGUGGGAUAAAAGCUUACCAAGCCGACGAUCUGUAGCUGGUCUGAGAGGACGACCAGCCACACUGGGACUGAGACACGGCCCAGACUCCUACGGGAGGCAGCAGUGGGGAAUUUUGGACAAUGGGGGAAACCCUGAUCCAGCCAUGCCGCGUGCAGGAUGAAGGCCUUCGGGUUGUAAACUGCUUUUGUACGGAACGAAAAGGUCCUUUCUAAUAAAGAGGGCUCAUGACGGUACCGUAAGAAUAAGCACCGGCUAACUACGUG